UCGCGUCUGCUGUGAAAUCCCGAGGCUCAACCUCGGGCCUGCAGUGGGUACGGGCAGACUAGAGUGCGGUAGGGGAGAUUGGAAUUCCUGGUGUAGCGGUGGAAUGCGCAGAUAUCAGGAGGAACACCGAUGGCGAAGGCAGAUCUCUGGGCCGUAACUGACGCUGAGGAGCGAAAGGGUGGGGAGCAAACAGGCUUAGAUACCCUGGUAGUCCACCCCGUAAACGUUGGGAACUAGUUGUGGGGUCCAUUCCACGGAUUCCGUGACGCAGCUAACGCAUUAAGUUCCCCGCCUGGGGAGUACGGCCGCAAGGCUAAAACUCAAAGGAAUUGACGGGGACCCGCACAAGCGGCGGAGCAUGCGGAUUAAUUCGAUGCAACGCGAAGAACCUUACCAAGGCUUGACAUAUACGAGAACGGGCCAGAAAUGGUCAACUCUUUGGACACUCGUAAACAGGUGGUGCAUGGUUGUCGUCAGCUCGUGUCGUGAGAUGUUGGGUUAAGUCCCGCAACGAGCGCAACCCUCGUUCUAUGUUGCCAGCACGUAAUGGUGGGAACUCAUGGGAUACUGCCGGGGUCAACUCGGAGGAAGGUGGGGAUGACGUCAAAUCAUCAUGCCCCUUAUGUCUUGGGCUUCACGCAUGCUACAAUGGCCGGUACAAAGGGCUGCAAUACCGUGAGGUGGAGCGAAUCCCAAAAAGCCGGUCCCAGUUCGGAUUGAGGUCUGCAACUCGACCUCAUGAAGUCGGAGUCGCUAG
This 757-nucleotide ribosomal RNA is filed under the name uncultured bacterium. Its description in RNAcentral is "bacterial SSU rRNA". It matches the Rfam family "Bacterial small subunit ribosomal RNA", at positions 583 to 1338 of the family's 1533-position model. The record is from RNAcentral.